RNAcentral lists this small RNA (224 nucleotides) under Arabidopsis thaliana (thale cress). RNAcentral describes it as "ATSL256250". The record is from RNAcentral. Lineage: Eukaryota; Viridiplantae; Streptophyta; Magnoliopsida; Brassicales; Brassicaceae.
UGAAUGAUUACAUGUACAUAUAUAGCUUUUAGAGAACACAAUCUCUGUGCUAUCACGAUAUCGUAUCUUACAGAAAAUAUAGAAACAAUAUUAACAACAGAUUUUAUGGAGUAACUCUGAUAUACAUUCCUGAUUUAACGCCAACUUCCUCUUCACGCAACUUUGUAGCCAAGUUUGUAAACCAAACCAGUUAAACCGGAUCUCCAACUCCAACAAAAGGGUUA